AUUGAACGCUGGCGGCAGGCUUAACACAUGCAAGUCGAGCGGGGUGAUGGUGCUUGCACUAUCACUUAGCGGCGGACGGGUGAGUAAUGCUUAGGAAUCUGCCUAUUAGUGGGGGACAACAUCUCGAAAGGGAUGCUAAUACCGCAUACGUCCUACGGGAGAAAGCAGGGGAUCACUUGUGACCUUGCGCUAAUAGAUGAGCCUAAGUCGGAUUAGCUAGUUGGUGGGGUAAAGGCCUACCAAGGCGACGAUCUGUAGCGGGUCGGAGAGGAUGAUCCGCCACACUGGGACUGAGACACGGCCCAGACUCCUACGGGAGGCAGCAGUGGGGAAUAUUGGACAAUGGGGGGAACCCUGAUCCAGCCAUGCCGCGUGUGUGAAGAAGGCCUUAUGGUCGUAAAGCACUUUAAGCGAGGAGGAGGCUCUUUUGGUUAAUACCCAAGAUGAGUGGACGUUACUCGCAGAAUAAGCACCGGCUAACUCUGUGCCAGCCGCCGCAGUAA
Molecule: ribosomal RNA, 503 nt
Filed under: uncultured bacterium
Lineage: Bacteria
Description: partial 16S ribosomal RNA
Rfam family: Bacterial small subunit ribosomal RNA
Source: RNAcentral